This 244-nucleotide ribosomal RNA is filed under the name uncultured bacterium. RNAcentral describes it as "partial 16S ribosomal RNA". It matches the Rfam family "Bacterial small subunit ribosomal RNA", at positions 338 to 598 of the family's 1533-position model. The record is from RNAcentral.
CCUACGGGGGGCAGCAGUGGGGAAUAUUGCACAAUGGGGGAAACCCUGAUGCAGCGACGCCGCGUGAGCGAGGAAGUAUUUCGGUAUGUAAAGCUCUGUCAGCAGGGAAGAAGAAUGACGGUACCUGAAGAAGAAGCACCGGCUAAAUACGUGCCAGCAGCCGCGGUAAUACGUAUGGUGCAAGCGUUGUCCGGAUUUACUGGGUGUAAAGGGAGCGCAGGCGGUUCUGCAAGUCUGGUGUGAA